RNAcentral lists this ribosomal RNA (434 nucleotides) under uncultured bacterium. RNAcentral's name for it is "partial 16S ribosomal RNA". It matches the Rfam family "Bacterial small subunit ribosomal RNA", at positions 29 to 507 of the family's 1533-position model. The record is from RNAcentral.
AGCGAACGCUGGCGGCAGGCCUAACACAUGCAAGUCCAACGAACCUUUCGGGGUUAGUGGCGGACGGGUGAGUAACACGUGGGAACGUGCCUUUAGGUUCGGAAUAACUCAGGGAAACUUGUGCUAAUACCGAAUGUGCCCUUCGGGGGAAAGAUUUAUCGCCUUUAGAGCGGCCCGCGUCUGAUUAGCUAGUUGGUUGAGGUAAUGGCUCACCAAGGCGACGAUCAGUAGCUGGUCUGAGAGGAUGAUCAGCCACAUUGGGACUGAGACACGGCCCAAACUCCUACGGGAGGCAGCAGUGGGGAAUCUUGCGCAAUGGGCGAAAGCCUGACGCAGCCAUGCCGCGUGAAUGAUGAAGGUCUUAGGAUUGUAAAAUUCUUUCACCGGGGACGAUAAUGACGGUACCCGGAGAAGAAGCCCCGGCUAACUUCGUG